UCAGGAUGAACGCUGGCGGCGUGCCUAAUACAUGCAAGUCGAGCGAACAGACGAGGAGCUUGCUCCUCUGACGUUAGCGGCGGACGGGUGAGUAACACGUGGAUAACCUACCUAUAAGACUGGGAUAACUUCGGGAAACCGGAGCUAAUACCGGAUAAUAUAUUGAACCGCAUGGUUCAAUAGUGAAAGACGGUUUUGCUGUCACUUAUAGAUGGAUCCGCGCCGCAUUAGCUAGUUGGUAAGGUAACGGCUUACCAAGGCAACGAUGCGUAGCCGACCUGAGAGGGUGAUCGGCCACACUGGAACUGAGACACGGUCCAGACUCCUACGGGAGGCAGCAGUAGGGAAUCUUCCGCAAUGGGCGAAAGCCUGACGGAGCAACGCCGCGUGAGUGAUGAAGGUCUUCGGAUCGUAAAACUCUGUUAUUAGGGAAGAACAAAUGUGUAAGUAACUAUGCACGUCUUGACGGUACCUAAUCAGAAAGCCACGGCUAACUACGUGCCAGCAGCCGCGGUAAUACGUAGGUGGCAAGCGUUAUCCGGAAUUAUUGGGCGUAAAGCGCGCGUAGGCGGUUUUUUAAGUCUGAUGUGAAAGCCCACGGCUCAACCGUGGAGGGUCAUUGGAAACUGGAAAACUUGAGUGCAGAAGAGGAAAGUGGAAUUCCAUGUGUAGCGGUGAAAUGCGCAGAGAUAUGGAGGAACACCAGUGGCGAAGGCGACUUUCUGGUCUGUAACUGACGCUGAUGUGCGAAAGCGUGGGGAUCAAACAGGAUUAGAUACCCUGGUAGUCCACGCCGUAAACGAUGAGUGCUAAGUGUU
RNAcentral lists this ribosomal RNA (818 nucleotides) under Staphylococcus sp. INBio2574G. Its description in RNAcentral is "bacterial SSU rRNA". It matches the Rfam family "Bacterial small subunit ribosomal RNA", at positions 24 to 824 of the family's 1533-position model. The record is from RNAcentral. Lineage: Bacteria; Bacillati; Bacillota; Bacilli; Caryophanales; Staphylococcaceae.